CCCUUAGAGUUUGAUCCUGGCUCAGGAUGAACGCUGGCGGCGUGCCUAACACAUGCAAGUCGAGCGAUUCUCUUCGGAGAAGAGCGGCGGACGGGUGAGUAACGCGUGGGUAACCUGCCCUGUACACACGGAUAACAUAUCGAAAGGUAUGCUAAUACGAGAUAAUAUGCUUUUAUCGCAUGGUAGAAGUAUCAAAGCUUUUGCGGUACAGGAUGGACCCGCGUCUGAUUAGCUAGUUGGUAAGGUAACGGCUUACCAAGGCGACGAUCAGUAGCCGACCUGAGAGGGUGAUCGGCCACAUUGGAACUGAGACACGGUCCAAACUCCUACGGGAGGCAGCAGUGGGGAAUAUUGCACAAUGGGCGAAAGCCUGAUGCAGCAACGCCGCGUGAGCGAUGAAGGCCUUCGGGUCGUAAGCUCUGUCCUCAAGGAAGAUAAUGACGGUACUUGAGGAGGAAGCCCCGGCUAACUACGUGCCAGCAGCCGCGGUAAUACGUAGGGGGCUAGCGUUAUCCGGAAUUACUGGGCGUAAAGGGUGCGUAGGUGGUUUCUUAAGUCAGAGGUGAAAGGCUACGGCUCAACCGUAGUAAGCCUUUGAAACUGGGAAACUUGAGUGCAGGAGAGGAGAGUGGAAUUCCUAGUGUAGCGGUGAAAUGCGUAGAUAUUAGGAGGAACACCAGUUGCGAAGGCGGCUCUCUGGACUGUAACUGACACUGAGGCACGAAAGCGUGGGGAGCAAACAGGAUUAGAUACCCUGGUAGUCCACGCCGUAAACGAUGAGUACUAGCUGUCGGAGGUUACCCCCUUCGGUGGCGCAGCUAACGCAUUAAGUACUCCGCCUGGGAAGUACGCUCGCAAGAGUGAAACUCAAAGGAAUUGACGGAAGGGCGAAUUCCA
Molecule: ribosomal RNA, 897 nt
Filed under: uncultured bacterium
Lineage: Bacteria
Description: bacterial SSU rRNA
Rfam family: Bacterial small subunit ribosomal RNA
Source: RNAcentral